CUUUAAUGGAGAGUUUGAUCCUGGCUCAGGACGAACGCUGGCGGCGUGCCUAAUACAUGCAAGUCGAGCGGGGUUAGUUAGAAGCUUGCUUCUAACUAACCUAGCGGCGGACGGGUGAGUAACACGUAGGCAACCUGCCCACAAGACAGGGAUAACUACCGGAAACGGUAGCUAAUACCCGAUACAUCCUUUUCCUGCAUGGGAGAAGGAGGAAAGGCGGAGCAAUCUGUCACUUGUGGAUGGGCCUGCGGCGCAUUAGCUAGUUGG
RNAcentral lists this ribosomal RNA (267 nucleotides) under Paenibacillus polymyxa. Its description in RNAcentral is "16S rRNA. Bacterial SSU". It matches the Rfam family "Bacterial small subunit ribosomal RNA", at positions 1 to 252 of the family's 1533-position model. The record is from RNAcentral. Lineage: Bacteria; Bacillati; Bacillota; Bacilli; Caryophanales; Paenibacillaceae.